This 629-nucleotide ribosomal RNA is filed under the name Nocardia sp. ANA303. Its description in RNAcentral is "bacterial SSU rRNA". It matches the Rfam family "Bacterial small subunit ribosomal RNA", at positions 59 to 705 of the family's 1533-position model. Lineage: Bacteria; Bacillati; Actinomycetota; Actinomycetes; Mycobacteriales; Nocardiaceae. The record is from RNAcentral.
AAGUCGAGCGGUAAGGCCCUUCGGGGUACACGAGCGGCGAACGGGUGAGUAACACGUGGGUGAUCUGCCUUGCACUCUGGGAUAAGCCUGGGAAACUGGGUCUAAUACCGGAUAUGAGCCUGGACUGCAUGGUCUGGGUUGGAAAGGUUUACUGGUGCGAGAUGGGCCCGCGGCCUAUCAGCUUGUUGGUGGGGUAACGGCCUACCAAGGCGACGACGGGUAGCCGACCUGAGAGGGUGACCGGCCACACUGGGACUGAGACACGGCCCAGACUCCUACGGGAGGCAGCAUAGGGGAAUAUUGCACAAUGGGCGAAAGCCUGAUGCAGCGACGCCGCGUGAGGGAUGACGGCCUUCGGGUUGUAAACCUCUUUUGACAGGGACGAAGCGCAAGUGACGGUACCUGUAGAAGAAGCACCGGCCAACUACGUGCCAGCAGCCGCGGUAAUACGUAGGGUGCGAGCGUUGUCCGGAAUUACUGGGCGUAAAGAGCUUGUAGGCGGUCUGUCACGUCGAUUGUGAAAACUUGCAGCUCAACUGCAAGCUUGCAGUCGAUACGGGCAGACUAGAGUACUUCAGGGGAGACUGGAAUUCCUGGUGUAGCGGUGAAAUGCGCAGAUAUCAGGAGGA